Molecule: ribosomal RNA, 404 nt
Filed under: uncultured bacterium
Lineage: Bacteria
Description: bacterial SSU rRNA
Rfam family: Bacterial small subunit ribosomal RNA
Source: RNAcentral
UGGGGAAUAUUGCACAAUGGGGGAAACCCUGAUGCAGCGACGCCGCGUGAGUGAAGAAGUCAUUCGUGAUGUAAAGCUCUAUCAGCAGGGAAGAAAAUGACGGUACCUGACUAAGAAGCCCCGGCUAACUACGUGCCAGCAGCCGCGGUAAUACGUAGGGGGCAAGCGUUAUCCGGAUUUACUGGGUGUAAAGGGAGCGUAGACGGUACUGCAAGUCUGAAGUGAAAGCCCAGGGCUCAACCGUGGGACUGCUUUGGAAACUGUGAUACUGGAGUGCAGGAGAGGUAAGUGGAAUUCCUAGUGUAGCGGUGAAAUGCGUAGAUAUUAGGAGGAACACCAGUGGCGAAGGCGGCUUACUGGACUGCAACUGACGUUGAGGCUCGAAAGCGUGGGGAGCAAACAGG